This 85-nucleotide small RNA is filed under the name Salmonella enterica. Its description in RNAcentral is "partial RtT sRNA". It matches the Rfam family "RtT RNA", at positions 1 to 84 of the family's 130-position model. From Rfam's summary of the family: This family represents a bacterial cis-regulatory element known as RtT RNA. The exact function of RtT is unknown although it is thought that it may be involved in changing the cellular response in relation to amino acid starvation. Lineage: Bacteria; Pseudomonadati; Pseudomonadota; Gammaproteobacteria; Enterobacterales; Enterobacteriaceae. The record is from RNAcentral.
AUAUCUCUCUGUACGGGAAGGAUGAGAAGCUUCGACUAAGGUUCGAUUCGAGCGCAGCGAGAAAGCGUUGCCGUAGGCAACGACC